RNAcentral lists this long non-coding RNA (229 nucleotides) under Elaeis guineensis (African oil palm). RNAcentral's name for it is "long non-coding RNA (EGUI_LNC016586)". Lineage: Eukaryota; Viridiplantae; Streptophyta; Magnoliopsida; Arecales; Arecaceae. The record is from RNAcentral.
ACCCUAACAAAGAAAUAAUUUUUGCCAUUCAUGAUUUAUGUGAAGUCAAACGGAAGGACUUCCCUAGAUGAAAAAAAAAAUAUUUAGGCUUCCAGGAGUCCCAGAUUUACAGGAGUCAUAUGCUGACCUUGGAACCGCUGUGCAGUUGAGCCAUCAAUAUAUGGAUAUGUUGAAAUGAAUGAAAAUUUCUUUAAAAUUCUCUCCAUGAAGCUUCAAUUAUUUAAGAGUU